Molecule: ribosomal RNA, 292 nt
Filed under: uncultured bacterium
Lineage: Bacteria
Description: partial 16S ribosomal RNA
Rfam family: Bacterial small subunit ribosomal RNA
Source: RNAcentral
GUGUCAGCCGCCGCGGUAAGACGGACCACACGAACGUUAUUCGGAAUUACUGGGCUUAAAGGGUGCGUAGGCUGUGCAGAAAGUUGGGUGUGAAAUCCCUCGGCUUAACCGAGGAACUGCGCCCAAAACUACUGUGCUUGAGAAAGAUAGAGGUAAGCGGAACUUAGGGUGGAGCGGUGAAAUGCGUUGAUAUCCUAAGGAACACCGGUGGCGAAGGCGGCUUACUGGGUCUUUUCUGACGCUGAGGCACGAAAGCUAGGGUAGCGAACGGGAUUAGAUACCCCCGUAGUCC